AGAGUUUGAUCCUGGCUCAGGAUUAACGCUGGCGGCAUGCCUAAUACAUGCAAGUCGAACGAAAAAUAUAUAGAUGCUUGCAUUUAGAUAUUUUUAGUGGCGAACGGGUGAGUAAUAUAUAGAUAACCUACCUUUAAGUUGGGGAUAACAGAGGGAAACUUUUGCUAAUACCGAAUAAAAUAAUUAGACGCAUGUUUAAUUAUUAAAAGGGGCUUCAAAGCCCCGCUCUAAGAGGGGUCUAUAUCGCAUUAGCUAGUUGGUAAGAUAACAGCCUACCAAGGCUAUGAUGCGUAGCUGUACUGAGAGGUAGAACAGCCACAUUGGGACUGAGAUACGGCCCAAACUCCUACGGGAGGCAGCAGUAGGGAAUUUUCGGCAAUGGGGGGAACCCUGACCGAGCAAUGCCGCGUGAUUGAAGAAGAUCUUCGGAUCGUAAAGAUCUGUUAUUAGGGAAGAAUGGAAUUGAUAGGAAAUAAUCAAUUUAUGACGGUGCCUAAUGAGGAAGCCCCGGCUAACUAUGUGCCAGCAGCCGCGGUAAUACAUAGGGGGCGAGCGUUAUCCGGAAUUAUUGGGCGUAAAGGGUACAUAGGCGGGCCUGCAAGUCUGAUUUGAAAGCACACGGCUUAACCGUGUGAGGUAAUUAGAAACUACAGGUCUAGAGAGUGGUAGAGGUAAAUGGGAUUCCAAGUGGAGCGGUGAAAUGCGUAGAGAUUUGGAGGAACACCAGUGGCGAAGGCGGUUUACUGGGCCACAUCUGACGCUGAUGUACGAAAGCGUGGGGAGCAAACAGGAUUAGAUACCCUGGUAGUCCACGCCGUAAACGAUGAGUGCUAAGUAUCGGAGGAUUCGGUGCUUAAGCUAACGCAGUAAGCACUCCGCCUGGGGAGUACGGUCGCAAGACUGAAACUCAAAGGAAUUGACGGGGACUCGCACAAGCGGUGGAGCAUGCGGUUUAAUUCGAUGCAACGCGAAGAACCUUACCAGGUCUUGACAGUGUAAAGAAUACUUAAGAGAUUAAGGGCUAAGAAUUAAGCUUGCUUAUUUCACUUUAUAAACAGGUGGUGCAUGGUUGUCGUCAGCUCGUGUCGUGAGAUGUUGGGUUAAGUCCCGCAACGAGCGCAACCCUUAUUGCUAGUUGCCAUCAUUAAGUUGGGCACUCUAGCAAGACUGCCGGUGACAAAUCGGAUGAAGGUGGGGAUGACGUCAAAUCAUCAUGCCCCUUAUGACCUGGGCUACACGCGUGCUACAAUGGCUAAUACAAAGAGUUGCAAAACCGUGAGGUAGAGCUAAUCUCAUAAAGUUAGUCUCAGUUCGGAUUGUAGUCUGCAACUCGACUACAUGAAGUUGGAAUCGCUAGUAAUCGUAAAUCAGAAUGUUACGGUGAAUACGUUCUCGCCUCUUGCACACACCGCCCGUCA
This 1418-nucleotide ribosomal RNA is filed under the name uncultured bacterium. Its description in RNAcentral is "bacterial SSU rRNA". It matches the Rfam family "Bacterial small subunit ribosomal RNA". The record is from RNAcentral.